RNAcentral lists this long non-coding RNA (454 nucleotides) under Homo sapiens (human). RNAcentral describes it as "LNC_000225". The record is from RNAcentral. Lineage: Eukaryota; Metazoa; Chordata; Mammalia; Primates; Hominidae.
GGCCAAGACACUUCAUUUGGAUGACUGACUAAAUAAAAGGCUUGGAAGCUGUAAAUAAAGGGAACCCACACCAAGUCUCCAAAAGCCAGCAUGAAUCCAAAUCCAUCGUGGAUGAUGUCCAUGGUCGUCAACAACGCUUCCUCAUUCCAGAGAGCAUCCACCACAUAGAGAAGCUGGAAACUAUUAACUAAAAUCAUGGCCAAGGAUGGAACAGCGCGGUCCUGUAUUUUCAUUUCAGCCAAAAGCAUCACCAAGUUAAUAACCACCCAUCCAAUCAAUCCGGGGCGCAAUUCACAAAAGUAUUUGAGAUCAAAAGUACCAAUUCGAGGGUUUAAUUCACGGCCAAUGAAGAAAUCAUAGACAGCAUUUCCUGAGAAAGGAAAAGUGUUUACCCAAACAGCAUUCCAAACCCAGUCAGGAGGCUUUACAACGGCACUGCCGCCCACUAUCCAGG